GUCCACGCCGUAAACGAUGGGCGCUAGGUGUGGGCGGUGUCGACUCCGUCCGUGCCGAAGCUAACGCAUUAAGCGCCCCGCCUGGGGAGUACGGCCGCAAGGCUAAAACUCAAAGGAAUUGACGGGGCCCGCACAAGCAGCGGAGCAUGUGGUUUAAUUCGACGCAACGCGAAGAACCUUACCAGGGCUUGACAUGCACGGGAAUUGCGUAGAAAUACGUAAGCCCUUCGGGGCUCGUGCACAGGUGGUGCAUGGCUGUCGU
Molecule: ribosomal RNA, 262 nt
Filed under: uncultured bacterium
Lineage: Bacteria
Description: partial 16S ribosomal RNA
Rfam family: Bacterial small subunit ribosomal RNA
Source: RNAcentral